AGGAGCAACGGCAGCAGCUGAAGGCCCGACUCCAUCGGCGAGGCGCCGCCGAUGAACUGCCAGUGCUGCGUGAGCAGCAGCAUCAGCCCGCCCAUGCCGAACAUGGCGAGGACCACGGACACCACCGCCACGGAGAACGCGCGGUCGCGGAAGAGGGUCGGGUCGAAGAGCGGAUCGCGGAUGCGCAGCACUCGCACCACCAGGGCGGUGAGCAGCACC
RNAcentral lists this non-coding RNA (219 nucleotides) under Streptomyces albidoflavus. The record is from RNAcentral. Lineage: Bacteria; Bacillati; Actinomycetota; Actinomycetes; Kitasatosporales; Streptomycetaceae.